UUGCCCUAGUAACGGCGAGUGAAGCGGCAACAGCUCAAAUUUGAAAUCUGGCUCACGCCCGAGUUGUAAUUUGUAGAGGAUGCUUUUGGUGCGGUGCCUUCUGAGUUCCCUGGAACGGGACGCCAGAGAGGGUGAGAGCCCCGUAUAGUUGGACACCAAGCCUCUGUAAAGCUCCUUCGACGAGUCGAGUAGUUUGGGAAUGCUGCUCAAAAUGGGAGGUAAAUUUCUUCUAAAGCUAAAUACCGGCCAGAGACCGAUAGCGUACAAGUAGAGUGAUCGAAAGAUGAAAAGCACUUUGAAAAGAGGGUUAAACAGCACGUGAAAUUGUUGAAAGGGAAGCGCUUGUGACCAGACUUGCGCCUUGCGAAUCAUCCAGCGUUCUCGCUGGUGCACUUCGCUUGGCUCAGGCCAGCAUCGGUUUUCCCAGGGGGAUAAAGGCGUCGGGAACGUAGCUCUCUACGGGGAGUGUUAUAGCCCGGCGUACAAUAUCCUUGGGGGGACCGAGGUUCGCGCUCUGCAAGGAUGCUGGCGUAAUGGUCAUCAGCGACCCGUCUUGAAACACGGACCAAGGAGUCAAGCAUUAGGGCGAGUGUUUGGGUGUUAAACCCGCACGCGAAAUGAAAGUGAACGCAGGUGAGAGCUUCGGCGCAUCAUCGACCGAUCCUGAUGUAUUCGGAUGGAUUUGAGUAAGAGCCUUACCGCUUGGACCCGAAAGAUGGUGAACUAUGCUUGUAUAGGGUGAAGCCAGAGGAAACUCUGGUGGAGGCUCGCAGCGGUUCUGACGUGCAAAUCGAUCGUCAAAUAUGAGCAUGGGGGCGAAAGACUAAUCGAACCAUCUAGUAGC
RNAcentral lists this ribosomal RNA (844 nucleotides) under Cancellidium sp. MDS-2015. RNAcentral's name for it is "eukaryotic LSU rRNA". It matches the Rfam family "Eukaryotic large subunit ribosomal RNA", at positions 75 to 951 of the family's 3401-position model. Lineage: Eukaryota; Fungi; Ascomycota; Sordariomycetes; Cancellidiaceae. The record is from RNAcentral.